AUGUGUUCAUACUUUCUCUCUAUACAAAACCAACCUCCCUUUCACUCUGUUUUGUGUCCCACUUAAAGUGAAAUCAAGAAGGGACAAGAAAAAAACAGGUAAUGUUUAAUGUGUUUGGAGAAUGCCUUUGAUACCUUCAGUAGAAAUGUUGAUUGCAUGCCUGAUAAUCUUACACACACCUAACGAGACACCCACAACACCCCACAGAUUUCCAAAUCGGCCGCUCAAAGAGACCACUAUGUCUCCUGCUGCACACAACUAUGCAUGCACCGAGAGAUCUACCAAGAUAAUGGAAACACAUACGACGUAUUUCUAAGAUUCUCAUAAUCAUUGUUUGUUCAAAGCCUUUAGAGAAUAAAAAGUGUCUUUGUCGUGCAUCCUGUGUUAGGGCAUCUGUAACAUCUGACCCCUCUUACCACUAGUAUUGUUUGCAUUGCCCUUGAUGGGUUGCCCAUU
Long non-coding RNA from Helianthus annuus (common sunflower), 456 nucleotides. RefSeq lists it as uncharacterized. The transcript is spliced from 2 exons. The record is from RefSeq and is a predicted model, not a curated record. NCBI's taxonomy places the organism in Eukaryota, Viridiplantae, Streptophyta, Magnoliopsida, Asterales, Asteraceae.